Molecule: non-coding RNA, 147 nt
Organism: Chiloscyllium plagiosum (whitespotted bambooshark)
Lineage: Eukaryota; Metazoa; Chordata; Chondrichthyes; Orectolobiformes; Hemiscylliidae
Source: RefSeq, a predicted model, not a curated record
UGAGCCAGUCACAUUGCUGAGGGUCUGGUCUCUGAACCAGUGAUCUUCGAAGAAUGAAGUAGAUUGCCAAUGCUGCAUUGUCUGCUGAUCACAACAUGACCGGAUGAGAUCGGACUUUCGAGGGCAGAUCGCACCAUGCAGUCUCUG